GGCAGUUCUCGGGUGACACACCCCUGAAUUGGGCUCCCUCCUCUCUGGUUCUGGUGCUUCACCCAAGAAUCUCA
This is a non-coding RNA of Myotis brandtii (Brandt's bat), 74 nucleotides long. The record is from Rfam. NCBI's taxonomy places the organism in Eukaryota, Metazoa, Chordata, Mammalia, Chiroptera, Vespertilionidae.